AGCGAACGCUGGCGGCAGGCCUAACACAUGCAAGUCGAACGAACUCUUCGGAGUUAGUGGCGGACGGGUGAGUAACACGUGGGAACGUGCCUUUAGGUUCGGAAUAACUCAGGGAAACUUGUGCUAAUACCGAAUGUGCCCUUCGGGGGAAAGAUUUAUCGCCUUUAGAGCGGCCCGCGUCUGAUUAGCUAGUUGGUGAGGUAAAGGCUCACCAAGGCGACGAUCAGUAGCUGGUCUGAGAGGAUGAUCAGCCACAUUGGGACUGAGACACGGCCCAAACUCCUAGGGGAGGCAGCAGUGGGGAAUCUUGCGCAAUGGGCGAAAGCCUGACGCAGCCAUGCCGGGUGAAUGAUGAAGGUCUUAGGAUUGUAAAAUUCUUUCACCGGGGACGAUAAUGACGGUACCCGGAGAAGAAGCCCCGGCUAACUUCGUG
RNAcentral lists this ribosomal RNA (433 nucleotides) under uncultured bacterium. Its description in RNAcentral is "partial 16S ribosomal RNA". It matches the Rfam family "Bacterial small subunit ribosomal RNA", at positions 29 to 507 of the family's 1533-position model. The record is from RNAcentral.